Galeopterus variegatus (Sunda flying lemur) is the source of this 453-nucleotide long non-coding RNA. RefSeq lists it as uncharacterized. The transcript has 3 exons. The record is from RefSeq and is a predicted model, not a curated record. Lineage: Eukaryota; Metazoa; Chordata; Mammalia; Dermoptera; Cynocephalidae.
CGGGGAUAGGGGUCGUGAUGGGGGUUUCCGACGGCUGGAAGCCGAGCAACAGUAGUUCAGAGCACCGUUUCCACCCCCGCCAGUCUCAUAUGCUCAGACGAGAAAACUGACGCUCCCGGAGGAAGAGACUUCUCAUAAUCACUCAGCGAGAAACUCCCAAGACCAGCGCGCUUUCCCCACGACUCCUCAGAGCGGAGGGACAACACCUGGGGGAGUUUGCUCCUCCUGAGGGGUCCCUGAGGCUUAGCUGCUCAUCCCAGAGGUGCCGAGAAGAGGGUUUCAAAUGGAGCAAAGGGAAAAAGAUGGAAUCAGAAACAAAAACAAAUAAAAGAAAUGACUGUUAACUCGUACUCCCAUGUAAGUCAAAUCAAGUUCUGUGUAUGUGUUUCUCACAAAAGUACAUUUCACAUUCUCAUAGCAAAUGAAACAUGAAACACUGGAGAGGCUCCCAUG